Molecule: long non-coding RNA, 1096 nt
Organism: Lates calcarifer (barramundi perch)
Lineage: Eukaryota; Metazoa; Chordata; Actinopteri; Centropomidae
Exons: 3
Source: RefSeq, a predicted model, not a curated record
GCUUUUUGUUUUGCUCGUCAGCAUCUAUAGGCAAAAUACAUCACUACUCAGCUCCUUUUUUAACACGCCCGAGAUCUCCUUCUGACCUGUUAAUCAAUCUUUAGGAUUCUUUAGCUAACGUUGUUUUCUGUAAGUGAACACAAAGCGCAUUAGAGUAGCCGACACACAAACAUCAUGGGAGGACUCACACUACCCGCAAGCUGAGAAUAAAGUGCUACAUGGACUUGAGCUAGGAGUGGAGGAGUGUGGAGGAGCCAACAUGGAGUUCUUCAAGAACAUACUCACCACUGCAGAUGUCUGGGAGUCCUGUCACUGAGUCCUAACCUGCUGUCAUUCUGCACCAUUCAACUGCUAAUGGCUCACUUCCCUGAGACCCUGGAGCGGAUGAUCCUUCUUGCAAGUAAGGCCUACAGCAGUACAGGAAAUCAGCCCUAAAAAGUCAUGGAUUCCUCUUUCAUAAAUAUUACCCAAGAAGCCCAAACAUGCCAUCUGGGAAGAGGGACUCACGUCGGUAUGGUAACAGGAUCUCAUGGCAAGGCUCAAGCUGAAAUCAGAAAUGCAAAGCAGGAGCAGAGAUACAAGGGCUACAUGUGCAGAGGAGUGCCGCACAGCCAGAGCACUAGAUUUAUUUGUAAAUGUACGCCUGUGAUGCCACUAUCUGUUAAGCCCCUCAGUCAGCUCAGCCUGCGUAAUGUGAGGGGAAGUGUCACCCUGUCACCACCAUGCCAGGGAUCAGCCUGGUGUUUGUGUGUACUGUGAACCAAGCCAAGCUUUGAGGAGGAGGGGAGAAAAUGACACAGAGGCUCUUUCAUCUAAUCCUUGUGGUGUAAUUUGCACCUCAGUAAGUUUAAUUGAUGACUACUGAUCAAAUGCUUGCCUUUGAAAAUAAAAUCUUUGGGAUUGUUAUUUUCCCCUUCAACCUGCAAAAAGAAUUCUUAAUGCAUCUGAUGAGAGGUUUCUAACUGAUGGAUCAGUUUGUGAGAGUUUGAAUCUCGGUACAGUAUACUGAACAAGUAAAACUCCUGCCAAUAUUGUGUAUAUUUCCUUUUAUUAACUACAUUAACUUUAUAAGUAAAAGCAAACUUCAUUAAGCAAA